UACAAAGCAAAAGACUUCUGUUUGUAUUCAUGUCUAAUGCUCAGCAGACAAAAUACUGUUUUCACUUUAUUAUUGCAGAGCUUGUCAUUGGAACUGUGGAACGCAGACAUGUCAGAGGUCUGGAGACCAGAAGGGAAGUCAGAGGUGCUGCUGUUCCAGCUGAUGACUCUAUAGAAGUCCGUGGAGAAGCGUCCUGCUCUCAUGCAAGGUGGGCUCCAUCCUGAGAGGUGUCUUCUGCAGACCUGGGAGGGCGUCCUUGCAGCAGGUGACUUUUCUCACUGGUCCCUGGGAAUAAAUCUGCCCUCUUA
This 308-nucleotide long non-coding RNA is filed under the name Anser brachyrhynchus (Pink-footed goose). RNAcentral describes it as "lncRNA (ENSABRG00000017347.1)". Lineage: Eukaryota; Metazoa; Chordata; Aves; Anseriformes; Anatidae. The record is from RNAcentral.